UGAACAAAAAUAUAAAUGAAACACUUUUGUUUUUGCUCCCAUUUGUCAUGAGCUGAACUCAAAGAUCUAAAACAUUUUCUGUAUACACAAAAGACCCCUUUCUCUCAAUUAUUGUUCACAGUUCUGUCUAAAUCUGUGUUAGUGAGCAUUUCUAGUUUGCCGAG
Long non-coding RNA from Thalassophryne amazonica, 164 nucleotides. RefSeq lists it as uncharacterized. Lineage: Eukaryota; Metazoa; Chordata; Actinopteri; Batrachoidiformes; Batrachoididae. The record is from RefSeq and is a predicted model, not a curated record. The transcript is spliced from 3 exons.